Molecule: ribosomal RNA, 38 nt
Filed under: Anopheles culicifacies A
Lineage: Eukaryota; Metazoa; Arthropoda; Insecta; Diptera; Culicidae
Description: partial 28S ribosomal RNA
Source: RNAcentral
AGUAGGCCUCAAGUGAUGUGUGACUACCCCCUAAUUUU